This 3369-nucleotide long non-coding RNA is filed under the name Canis lupus familiaris (dog). Its description in RNAcentral is "lncRNA (ENSCAFG00030007435.1)". The record is from RNAcentral. Lineage: Eukaryota; Metazoa; Chordata; Mammalia; Carnivora; Canidae.
AAAAAGAAUGCUGACCACUGUUGUUGACUGAAGGGCCUCCCUUGUGCCUAAACCCUUGACUAUCAUGGAUGUGCAUAUUUCUGGAGGAGAAAAAGAGAUUUAUAAGCUAAAGAAUUUGCCAUACAGCCAAAGAUGCAAUGGUGUUAUUCUUUCCUUACAUGUUUGGUCGAGUCUAAUAAGACCACUGAAGCCUGGAAUUUUCUUUGUGGGAUGGUUUUUAAACCAUAAAUUCAGUUUCUUCAGUAGGUAUAGUCUUCAAGAUUAUUUCUUCUUGCAUGGACUUUUUGUUUUGUUUUUUGUUUUUGCCUUUCACAGAAUUUUUCCAUUUUAUAUAAGCUGUCAAAUUAAAUGGUAUAAAUAUGUUUAUAACAUUUUCUUACUAUUAAUAUGUAUAGAAUCAGUAGUGAUGUCAAUUCUUUUAUUCUUGAUAUUGGUAAUUUAUAUCUUCUAUUUUUUCAGAUAACCAAUUUUUGGUUAUACUGAUUUUUCUCUAUUGUUUAUCCCAUUUCUGUUUUGUAGUCCCCUUUCUUGUUAUUUCCUUCCUUCUGCUCACUUUGGGAUUAAUUUCUCAGGUAAUUAUUUUUAGACUAUUUUUCUUUUUUUAAAAAAAUUAUUUAUUUACUCAUGAGAGACACAGGGAGAGGGAAGGGAUGUAGGCUCCAUGCAGGGAGCCCGAUGUGGGAUUCCAUCUCAAGUCCCCGGGAUCACACCCUGAGCCAAAGGCAGAUGCUCAACCACGGGCCAUCCAGGCAUCCCUAGUCUGUUUUUUUUCUUAAUGUAAGUAUGUAAAGCUAUAAAUUUCCCUCUAAGCACUACUUUUGCUGCAUCCCACAAAUAUUGAUAUGUUAUAUAUGCAUUAUCAUUUAGUUUAAAAUAUUUUCUCAUUUCCUUUAUGAUUUGUUUUGGGCCUAUGGCUUAUUUAGAAGUAUGUUAUUAAAUUUUCUGAAUUAAAAAAAAAUUUUUUUAGUUUAAUCCUGCCAUGGUCAAAGAACAUACUUUGUAUGAUUUCAGUCUAUUUAAAUUUAUUGAGAUGUGAUAUAUAGUCUGUUUGGGUGAGUGUUCCAUAUAAAGUUGAAAAGAAUAUGUAUUCUUCUGUUUUGUGGUGGAGUGCCCUAUAAAUGUCAAUUUGGUCAAGUUGAUUGAUAGUGUUGUUCCUCAGAUCUUCAAUAUUUUAAUGAUUUUUGUCUCUACUUAUUUUUUCAAUUGCUGAAAAAAUAUUAUUGACAUAUGUAACAAUAAUUUUGGAUUUCUCUAUAUCUCCCUUCAGUUCCACCAAUAUUUGCUUCAUAUAUUUUGUAAGUUUGUUAUCAAGUACAUAUGCCUUUAGGAUUGUGAUGGAUUGACUUCUUUAUCAUGAUGAAGUGUCCCUCUUAAUCCCUGGUGAUAUUCCUUGUUCUGGCAUCUAGUCUUUCUGGUGUUAAUAUAGCCACUGUGGCUUUCUUCUGAUUAUUUUUUUUUUUUUGUGAUAUAUCUUUUCUCAUUCUUUUAUCUUUAAUUUACCUGAGACUUUAUAUUUAAAAUUGGUUUUCUAGAGACAGCAUAUGGCUGGGUUUUGCAUUUUUUAUUAAAUGUGACAACUUGUUUCUUAAUUAGUCUUUAGACCAUUUAUAUUAAAUGUAAUUAUUGAUGUGUUUUGGGUUAAAUCUACCAUCUUGCUAAUUUUUAUCUAUUUGUCUCAUCCUUCCCCCCUCCCCCGCUUUUUCUUGUCUUCUCUUAGACUAAUUUUUCAUCCUUUCAUCCUACUGCUUUCUGGUUCUUUCACAGGCAUUCUGGAAUUUAACCUUAUGCAUGUACACAUCAUUAUUCAGGCAACACUAUAAGUGGAUAUAUCAGCAGAUCUGCGGAGCUGUUUCUGUGAAGCUCCCUCUUGUCUACCAUCCUGCCCUACAAAUUUUAGACACUUUGGUUUCUCCUAACUACACACCCUAUUUGUUCAACUCAGGGAGACCUUCUACCUCUUCUUGCUUUCUGCCUCACUGCUUUGGGUGCUAGAAACUGCCCUGAGGUGGUAAACUAGGGUAAUUGUAGGAUUUACCUCAAUUUCCCCCUUCUCUCAAGAAACCCUGACACUUAUCCCCUGUUUUUCAUUGUCUAGAAAUAUUUGUUUUCUAUAUUUUGUCUGGCUUUCCAGUUGUGGAUAGCAAAGGGCAAUUCCUAUAGCAGUUAAUCUAAUGAAUGAAAGAUUUGGUGAUGUUUUCUUUAUUCUGUAGAUACAGUUGUCCAUAUAAAUUUUUAAUACCAAUUUUGUAUGUGAGUGAAUGAUGUCCACCUUAGAAAUUAGUCCCCACAGUGGAAGAAUGUCCCUCCCUUCCCUUCCCAAACUUCACUCUCCAAACCUUAAUUAUUUCUCAUGAAAGUAUUUUCAGACUAUAAAGUUGAAUCUAUAUUUUUCUUAGCUGGAACUGUUUAAGGAACUAGAAAAAGGUUUUCUGAGAUCUCAUUAAUGUAUUCUUCAUUUUGGUAUCUUAAAGGGAUUUGAAUUCUAUGUUCCUGCCAACUUUAAAGAAGACUUUAAAACCAUUUUUUCCAUUUACAAAAUGUAGUUAAAAAACCAAAAGUGUUCAUUUCGUCCUUUACUGGGAUUGGAAAAUUCAUAAAAUAGAGUGGAGUAUAAAAUGGGGAAAAUUGUUGAAUUAUUAAGGUCAUCAUUUGAUAUAAACAGUUUACUCUUACCCUUGGCCUUUAAAAUGAUGAAUCUGUGACAUAAUUUAUGAAGAAAGGGAAAGGGCAAUCCAAAUAGGGUAGAGACACUGCUAGAGAAAUCUAGAACAGUCAAGAUGGUUUGCUGUCAUCUGCAGUACAGGACAAAAACCAUGGAUGAAACAGCUGGCCAUGGGACACCUUGUGCCUCUGGAGUCAAAAGUCAACACCACCAAGGCCACAGGGAGGAGUGGAGAGCUUGUCAGUCUUCUCACAUUGCUGCAACUCAACUCUUGGCAGACUGGCUUUGUGCAGCUUUCUAGAUAAUCUCUUCUCUGAGGUCAGAAGAAGGAAGGCACAAGAGAAUUGAAUUCUCUUUCCUUUUCACUUAGUGGGGCCAUUCUUACUGAUGGGAAAAAAGUAGUUUCCUACAGGGCCGUACACUCAACAGGUUGGAGAUAGCAUUUUCUCUGGAAAAAUAACCAACUGGUAUAAUCGAAUUCCUUCCUUGAAGAGCAUAAGUAGCUUUUUCAAAGUUGCUUUCAUAAUGACUUGCACUUUAUAAAUCAAAAUUUGUAGUUUUGCUUGAGGAAACAAGCUGCUUAAGCAGGCCCAUUUUAGAAAACCUUUUCUGAGACUCUCUCUUUUCACUCAAUCAUUUCAAGUAUGAAACCUAGUGAUUUGGGCAUCAAGAGUAUUUAUUCAAUUUCCUUUCAUACUGUACUGUAA